CACGUAGGGUGCGAGCGUUGUCCGGAAUUAUUGGGCGUAAAGAGCUCGUAGGCGGUGUGUCGCGUCGGCCGUGAAAACCUGCAGCUUAACUGUGGGCGUGCGGUCGAUACGGGCAUCACUGGAGUUCGGCAGGGGAGACUGGAAUUCCUGAUGUAGCGGUGAAAUGCGCAGAUAUCAGGAGGAACACCGGUGGCGAAGGCGGGUCUCUGGGCCGAUACUGACGCUGAGGAGCGAAAGCGUGGGGAGCGAACAGG
RNAcentral lists this ribosomal RNA (254 nucleotides) under uncultured bacterium. Its description in RNAcentral is "partial 16S ribosomal RNA". It matches the Rfam family "Bacterial small subunit ribosomal RNA", at positions 524 to 776 of the family's 1533-position model. The record is from RNAcentral.